This 390-nucleotide ribosomal RNA is filed under the name Theileria lestoquardi. Its description in RNAcentral is "SSU rRNA". It matches the Rfam family "Eukaryotic small subunit ribosomal RNA", at positions 497 to 924 of the family's 1831-position model. The record is from RNAcentral. Lineage: Eukaryota; Apicomplexa; Aconoidasida; Piroplasmida; Theileriidae.
CUAAGUCUUGUAUUGGAAUGAUGGGAAUUUAAACCUCUUCCAGAGUAUCAAUUGGAGGGCAAGUCUGGUGCCAGCAGCCGCGGUAAUUCCAGCUCCAAUAGCGUAUAUUAAAAUUGUUGCAGUUAAAAAGCUCGUAGUUGAAUUUCUGCUGCAUUGCUUGUGUCCCUCCGGGGUCUGUGCAUGUGGCUUUUUUCGGACGGAGUUUCUUUGUCUGAAUGUUUACUUUGAGAAAAUUAGAGUGCUCAAAGCAGGCUUUUGCCUUGAAUAGUUUAGCAUGGAAUAAUAAAGUAGGACUUUGGUUCUAUUUUGUUGGUUUUAGGUACCAAAGUAAUGGUUAAUAGGAACAGUUGGGGGCAUUCGUAUUUAACUGUCAGAGGUGAAAUUCUUAGA